RNAcentral lists this ribosomal RNA (1170 nucleotides) under Triticum aestivum (bread wheat). RNAcentral describes it as "partial small subunit ribosomal RNA". The record is from RNAcentral. Lineage: Eukaryota; Viridiplantae; Streptophyta; Magnoliopsida; Poales; Poaceae.
AUGGAGAUGGGCGGCGACGAGAUGAUGAUGACCUCGGGCGCCACGGGCCGGAUCGUGCCCGUCUUCCGCUCCGUGCUCUCCCGCCGCGCGCUGCUCCGCCUGGCCGUCGCGCUCCACUCGCUCUUCCUCUGGCUGCUCCUCCUCGUCGGCCGCCGCCGCCGCCCCGACGCCGCGAGCCCGGCGGAGCCCGGCCGCCUGGGGAAGGCCAGGAGCAGGCGCAGGGCCGCGGAGGAGGAGGACGUGCGCCGCCGCCGGGCGCUCGCGGAGGAGGUGCCCAUGGUGGAGGACGACGCGGACGCGGACGGCAGGACGUGCGGCACCUUCGUCAUCGCCGGGGCCAGGCGGAACGCGCUCUUCUGCCGCGUCUGGGCGCCGGCGGCCGGCGCGGAGACGAGGGGCAUUCUGCUCAUCGUACAUGGGCUCAAUGAGCAUAGUGGGAGGUAUUUGCAUUUUGCCGAGCAGCUAACAUCAUGUGGCUUUGGAGUAUAUGCAAUGGAUUGGAUAGGUCAUGGUGGCAGUGAUGGUCUGCACGGUUAUGUUCCUUCUCUCGAUUAUGUCAUAGAAGACAUGGAAGUACUUCUUGAUAAAAUUAUGCUGGAGAAUCCAGAUGUUCCUUGUUUUCUACUCGGUCACUCCACUGGUGGAGCUGUUGUUUUGAAGGCGUCGCUGUACGCCCAUAUCAGAACCAGACUGGAAGGAAUCAUCCUGACUUCACCAGCUGUGCGUGUAAAACCAGCGCAUCCGAUAGUUGGGGCCGUGGCACCGAUAUUCUCUCUGAUAGCACCCAAGUUCCAAUUCAAGGGAGCCAACAAGCGCGGCAUCCCGGUGUCGCGCGACCCCGCCGCACUGCUAGCGAAGUACUCUGACCCGCUGGUCUACACGGGGCCGAUCAGGGUCCGUACGGGCCACGAGAUCCUGCGCAUCUCCUCCUACCUGCUGCACAACCUGAAGAAGGUGACGGUCCCGUUCGUGGUCCUGCACGGCACGGCGGACCGUGUGACGGACCCGCUGGCCUCGCGGGAGCUCUACACGGAGGCCGCGUCGAGGCACAAGGACCUGCGUCUGUACGAGGGGUUCCUCCACGACCUGCUCUUCGAGCCCGAGCGCGACGAGAUCGCCGCCGACAUCAUCGGGUGGAUGGACCGGACGCUCGGCCUGCAGGCCGUAUGA